This 497-nucleotide ribosomal RNA is filed under the name uncultured bacterium. Its description in RNAcentral is "partial 16S ribosomal RNA". It matches the Rfam family "Bacterial small subunit ribosomal RNA", at positions 28 to 507 of the family's 1533-position model. The record is from RNAcentral.
GAUGAACGCUGGCGGCGUGCCUAAUACAUGCAAGUCGAGCGAACAGACGAGGAGCUUGCUCCUCUGACGUUAGCGGCGGACGGGUGAGUAACACGUGGAUAACCUACCUAUAAGACUGGGAUAACUUCGGGAAACCGGAGCUAAUACCGGAUAAUAUAUUGAACCGCAUGGUUCAAUAGUGAAAGACGGUUUUGCUGUCACUUAUAGAUGGAUCCGCGCCGCAUUAGCUAGUUGGUAAGGUAACGGCUUACCAAGGCAACGAUGCGUAGCCGACCUGAGAGGGUGAUCGGCCACACUGGAACUGAGACACGGACCAGACUCCUACGGGAGGCAGCAGUAGGGAAUCUUCCGCAAUGGGCGAAAGCCUGACGGAGCAACGCCGCGUGGGUGAUGAAGGUCUUCGGAUCGUAAAACUCUGUUAUUAGGGAAGAACAAAUGUGUAAGUAACUAUGCACGUCUUGACGGUACCUAAUCAGAAAGCCACGGCUAACUACGUG